UGGCAGGCGGGUAAAAACACUAGUCGCCACUACGAUUUUCGAAGGUUCUCCUCGAUUUCUUUAGGAUGCCAUCAUCUGAGCCUGAUUUCCUUAUCAUGGUACCACACUUGGGAUAUCUCAUUUCUAACAAAAAAAUAAUUACCA
This is a long non-coding RNA of Melitaea cinxia (Glanville fritillary), 144 nucleotides long. RefSeq lists it as uncharacterized. The record is from RefSeq and is a predicted model, not a curated record. The transcript has 4 exons. NCBI's taxonomy places the organism in Eukaryota, Metazoa, Arthropoda, Insecta, Lepidoptera, Nymphalidae.